GUUAUCUUUAGUUCACUUUCCACACUUAGAGAAAAGAAGCAAAAGCUGAAAACCCCAUUGGAGGCUCUCGGCCAGCCUUGGAGAAAAUCAACCCCCAUUUUUAGCUCUCUUAAAAUUAUUUCCUUGGUACAAACCCAUUAUUUUGAGGACCCUAAGUAGAGUGGAAGCAUCGUUGGAGCGAUCAACCUAUUAAUUUUUCAUCUUUUGGAAAACCCUAGCCUAUUGGAAGUUGAAGAGAAAAAGAUCGUGGGCAGCCCGAAUCAUAGUUUGGACUUAGCUCGAGUUGGAUCAUAUUGGAGAGCGUUCGAGGUACAGACGCACAGUUCGGUGAUCCCCCAGUGUAGGAUACCCCUUUUGCUGUUGGAGUGCUCCCCUCCCUUCAGAGCACAUCUUUUGGUAUACACUUUUGUUCGCUAUGUUGUAUAUAUUCGUUCAUGGGUACGGCGGGGCCCUGUUCCGCCAUAUGAUUCGUUUGGUCUGUUUAGAGGUCUGUAGACUUAUUUGUGGGUGUGUGUGCCAACUUCUGUACAGUUGUGUCCAUAUGAUCUUCUUCGUUAUGGCAGCCUUGUCGGCAUGCAUUUUGUAUAUGUUUUUGGGUCGUUGUGCCAUUUGAUAGCCUUGUCGGCUCGCACAUGUAUAUGCUGUGUUUGGGCGAUCCCAUUCGCCGCGGAGGCCGGU
Lycium barbarum (goji berry) is the source of this 678-nucleotide long non-coding RNA. RefSeq lists it as uncharacterized. The record is from RefSeq and is a predicted model, not a curated record. Lineage: Eukaryota; Viridiplantae; Streptophyta; Magnoliopsida; Solanales; Solanaceae. The transcript is spliced from 3 exons.